ACUUGAUGGUGUUUAUGACGUCGAUAUUCGACGUCAUAAACACCAUCAAGUUUGGUGUUUAUGACGUCGAUAUUCGACGUCAUAAACACCA
This 91-nucleotide microRNA precursor is filed under the name Paramuricea clavata. The record is from RNAcentral. Lineage: Eukaryota; Metazoa; Cnidaria; Anthozoa; Malacalcyonacea; Plexauridae.